Molecule: long non-coding RNA, 207 nt
Filed under: Elaeis guineensis (African oil palm)
Lineage: Eukaryota; Viridiplantae; Streptophyta; Magnoliopsida; Arecales; Arecaceae
Description: long non-coding RNA (EGUI_LNC036313)
Source: RNAcentral
UACGACAGUAUUUGUAUUGGCUGGGAUUGAUCCCAACAUCGUGCUCUUCUUUUCUUUCUUCAACCUCAAGAGGCAUUCAAAUUCGCAUAGAUAGUGGUAUGUGAUGGUGUGAAGGAACAAGAACGUCCAUUUGCUGAUACAAGAUGCUCCUACCAUAGUCCAUGGAUGGAAAGAGCGAUUCCUUUUCAUCCUAGACGUCCGACGAGG